CCAGGAGCCAGGACCAGGACCAGGACCAGGAGGAGCUGGAGGAGGACGAGGAGCAGCGGGGACAGACGUUUGUCCCGCUGCUCCUUGUCCGCCUGAGCGUCUCCUCCUGCCGGCUCCGCGCGCGUGGAAGAUCCGAGUGGCAAACCGGAAGUGGAUGGUUCCAAUUCAAUUUAUCGAGGGGGAAGGGCGCGGACCGCACUCAGCCAGGAGGAGUCCACUUUUCUUCGGCGGCGCUGAGGAGGGGCUUGCUGGUGCUUCAUCUCCCCCUAGAGGCACCUGUGCACAGCAUGAUUUUUUCUGCCUCAUCAGAUUUUUAUUUUCUCUUUAUUUUGCAUGAAAAUGUCACCAAUUCUAUUAUCAAUAAUAUAAAAUGUAUUGAAUUCGGUGGAAUUUUAUUUAAAGUUGUUCACAUAACCCUUAGAAGUUGAAUAUCAAUGUUUAUGGUCCUGCAGAGAGUGUAUUUGUGUGUAUUUGGCUUUUAUAUUGAGUGAUUAAUAAGAUAAAAAUGACAAAUAUGUGAGACUUGUACACAAAUAUAGAACUAUAAAUGCUAAUGAGCGAUGAAUAAAUAACUAAAACCUG
Long non-coding RNA from Solea solea (common sole), 582 nucleotides. RefSeq lists it as uncharacterized. The transcript has 2 exons. Lineage: Eukaryota; Metazoa; Chordata; Actinopteri; Pleuronectiformes; Soleidae. The record is from RefSeq and is a predicted model, not a curated record.